This 643-nucleotide ribosomal RNA is filed under the name uncultured Actinomycetes bacterium. Its description in RNAcentral is "bacterial SSU rRNA". It matches the Rfam family "Bacterial small subunit ribosomal RNA", at positions 232 to 885 of the family's 1533-position model. Lineage: Bacteria; Bacillati; Actinomycetota; Actinomycetes. The record is from RNAcentral.
CGCGGCCUAUCAGCUUGUUGGUGAGGUAAUGGCUCACCAAGGCGACGACGGGUAGCCGGCCUGAGAGGGUGACCGGCCACACUGGGACUGAGACACGGCCCAGACUCCUACGGGAGGCAGCAGUGGGGAAUAUUGCACAAUGGGCGAAAGCCUGAUGCAGCGACGCCGCGUGAGGGACGACGGCCUUCGGGUUGUAAACCUCUUUCAGCAGGGAAUAAGCGAAAGUGAAGGUACCUGCAGAAGAAGCACCGGCUAACUACGUGCCAGCAGCCGCGGUAAUACGUAGGGUGCAAGCGUUAUCCGGAAUUAUUGGGCGUAAAGAGCUCGUAGGCGGUUUGUCGCGUCCGUCGCGAAAGUCCGGGGCUCAACUCCGGAUCUGCGGUGGGUACGGGCAGACUAGAGUGAUGUAGGGGAGACUGGAAUUCCUGGUGUAGCGGUGGAAUGCGCAGAUAUCAGGAGGAACACCGAUGGCGAAGGCAGGUCUCUGGGCAUUAACUGACGCUGAGGAGCGAAAGCAUGGGGAGCGAACAGGAUUAGAUACCCUGGUAGUCCAUGCCGUAAACGUUGGGCACUAGGUGUGGGGGACAUUCCACGUUUUCCGCGCCGUAGCUAACGCAUUAAGUGCCCCGCCUGGGGAGUACGG